AGUGAACGCUGGCGGUAGGCCUAACACAUGCAAGUCGAACGGCAGCACAGUAAGAGCUUGCUCUUACGGGUGGCGAGUGGCGGACGGGUGAGGAAUACAUCGGAAUCUACUUUUUCGUGGGGGAUAACGUAGGGAAACUUACGCUAAUACCGCAUACGACCUACGGGUGAAAGCAGGGGAUCUUCGGACCUUGCGCGAUUGAAUGAGCCGAUGUCGGAUUAGCUAGUUGGCGGGGUAAAGGCCCACCAAGGCGACGAUCCGUAGCUGGUCUGAGAGGAUGAUCAGCCACAUGGGAACUGAGACACGGGCCAGACCCCUAGGGGGGGCAGCAGGGGGGAAUAUUGGAAAAGGGGCGCAAGCCUGAACCAGCCAUACCGGGGGGGUGAAGAAGGCCUUCGGGUUGGAAAGCCUUUUUGUUGGGAAAAAAAAGCAGCAGGUUAAACCCCCGGUGUUCUGACGGUACCCAAAAAAUAAGCACCGGCUAAUUUCGU
RNAcentral lists this ribosomal RNA (491 nucleotides) under uncultured bacterium. RNAcentral's name for it is "partial 16S ribosomal RNA". It matches the Rfam family "Bacterial small subunit ribosomal RNA", at positions 29 to 506 of the family's 1533-position model. The record is from RNAcentral.